AAGGAGUCGUCUUCGUAUGCGAGUGUUCGGGUGUAAAACCUCUACGCGUAAUGAAAGUGAAGGCAGGUGAGAGCUUCGGCGCAUCACCGACCGAUCCUGAUGUUCUCGGAUGGAUUUGAGUAAGAGCAUACGGGGCCGGACCCGAAAGAAGGUGAACUAUGCCUGUAUAGGGUGAAGCCAGAGGAAACUCUGAUGGAGGCUCGCAGCGGUUCUGACGUGCAAAUCGAUCGUCAAAUAUGGGCAUGGGGGCGAAAGACUAAUCGAACCUUCUAGUAGCUGGUUUCCGC
This 287-nucleotide unclassified non-coding RNA is filed under the name uncultured fungus. RNAcentral's name for it is "partial contains 5.8S rRNA, ITS2 and 28S rRNA". It matches the Rfam family "Eukaryotic large subunit ribosomal RNA", at positions 668 to 961 of the family's 3401-position model. Lineage: Eukaryota; Fungi. The record is from RNAcentral.